RNAcentral lists this ribosomal RNA (573 nucleotides) under Acinetobacter sp. UFLA03-09. RNAcentral describes it as "bacterial SSU rRNA". It matches the Rfam family "Bacterial small subunit ribosomal RNA", at positions 80 to 648 of the family's 1533-position model. The record is from RNAcentral. Lineage: Bacteria; Pseudomonadati; Pseudomonadota; Gammaproteobacteria; Moraxellales; Moraxellaceae.
UUGCUACUGAUCUUAGCGGCGGACGGGUGAGUAAUGCUUAGGAAUCUGCCUAUUAGUGGGGGACAACAUUUCGAAAGGAAUGCUAAUACCGCAUACGUCCUACGGGAGAAAGCAGGGGAUCUUCGGACCUUGCGCUAAUAGAUGAGCCUAAGUCGGAUUAGCUAGUUGGUGGGGUAAAGGCCUACCAAGGCGACGAUCUGUAGCGGGUCUGAGAGGAUGAUCCGCCACACUGGGACUGAGACACGGCCCAGACUCCUACGGGAGGCAGCAGUGGGGAAUAUUGGACAAUGGGCGCAAGCCUGAUCCAGCCAUGCCGCGUGUGUGAAGAAGGCCUUAUGGUUGUAAAGCACUUUAAGCGAGGAGGAGGCUACUUUAGUUAAUACCUAGAGAUAGUGGACGUUACUCGCAGAAUAAGCACCGGCUAACUCUGUGCCAGCAGCCGCGGUAAUACAGAGGGUGCAAGCGUUAAUCGGAUUUACUGGGCGUAAAGCGCGCGUAGGCGGCUAAUUAAGUCAAAUGUGAAAUCCCCGAGCUUAACUUGGGAAUUGCAUUCGAUACUGGUUAGCUAGAGUG